GCCAGGUGGACGCCUCUAUCUACAGCCUCGUGGCGGAUGGGACCUGUUAGGUUCGCGGCCAUCGUGGGCAACAAGGACUCACCCUCCAUCUGGGCCGCCGUCCCAGGGAAAAACCUUCGUGAACAUCACGCCAGCUAAGGUUGGUGUCCUGGUUGGCAAAGACUGGUCAAGCUUUUUCGUGAAUAGGCUGACACUGCGGGGCCAGAAAUGUACUGUGGUCCUGGACUCACUGCUGCAGGAUGGGGAACUGACCGUGCAUCUUCAAACGAAGAGCAUCGGUGGAGCCCCCACCUUCAAUGUCACUGUCACCAUGAUUGCCAAGACACU
RNAcentral lists this long non-coding RNA (327 nucleotides) under Homo sapiens (human). RNAcentral's name for it is "non-protein coding lnc-ECE1-3:1". Lineage: Eukaryota; Metazoa; Chordata; Mammalia; Primates; Hominidae. The record is from RNAcentral.